RNAcentral lists this non-coding RNA (183 nucleotides) under Lautropia sp. Its description in RNAcentral is "6S RNA". It matches the Rfam family "6S / SsrS RNA". From Rfam's summary of the family: E. coli 6S RNA was the first non coding RNA to be sequenced, but its function was unknown until recently. Lineage: Bacteria; Pseudomonadati; Pseudomonadota; Betaproteobacteria; Burkholderiales; Burkholderiaceae. The record is from RNAcentral.
ACAUCCCUGCGGUGUUCGCUACGGUCAUAUAUUCCUUGAACCAAUGCGAUGCAUCAGGCAGAGAGUCCCGCGUUACUGUUGUGAUCGUCCCUCGUCGGAUGAACCUGAUGUAACAACACUUUCUGCCGACCUGAACUGAAUCACGGUUCAGGAUGCUGGCCGACCGGCACAGGCGGGGUACCU